GUUUCUAAAGCAUGUGUUUGUUUUCUCUGCCCUUCUCUGUUGCAGUUGCCUAUGAAUGAAUGCCAUUUUGAGGAGAAGAUUCUCUGCUAUCUUAACACGUGUAGAUAUUUGGAGGUCUCUGAAAGUGCUGAGGACCAGAGCCCUCUGGAAGCUGGUGGCUGGCUUGGCGAUACACAUUUGGUUUUCCUUACCAAACAGCAGAUAUUUUCCCAGGGGUGGAAUUGGCAGGGGAUGAAUGCCAUGUGAAGAGGAAGCAAUUCGCCGUGUAUUUACUACUCUGAGAUGUAAGGGAAUCCCUGGAAGAUCUGUGAAUUUUGGAGAUGCUCAUGAUGGUGGAGAUGCCAUCAAACGGAAGCCAUUCAGGUGGAAGGAGUGUAUGUUCACUUUAACAUUCGGAUGUGCAUUAAAUUUUCUGGAAGCAGUGUGGCCCUGAGUCCUCUGGAAUUCGGUGGAAUUAACAUGAAUGGAGUCCAUGUGAAGGGAAGGCAAAUAACCCUGUGUUUACUACCCUCAGAUUUAAGGGAAUACUGGAAGAUCUGUGACCAAGAGUCUGGAGAAUUUUGGACAUCACUCAUUGUGGGUGAGAUGCCAUCAAAUGGAAGCCACUUGGAUGGAAAGAGUCUACAUUUCUUUUAAAAACUGUGGGUUGAACUGGCAGGGAAUGAAUGCCAUGUUACGGGAAUGCACUUCAACAUGUGUUUACUACCCUGAGAUGUAAGGAAAUCCCUGGAGAUCUAUGGUCAAGAGUCUGGAGAAUCUUUGUCAUCACUCAUUGUGGUAGGCAUUUCUCUUUUUUUCCUUUUUUCCUAAGCUACUGUUAAUCUCACAAGAAUAGUCUCUCUCCAG
RNAcentral lists this long non-coding RNA (846 nucleotides) under Dasypus novemcinctus (nine-banded armadillo). RNAcentral describes it as "lncRNA (ENSDNOG00000049999.1)". The record is from RNAcentral. Lineage: Eukaryota; Metazoa; Chordata; Mammalia; Cingulata; Dasypodidae.